GAUGAAGAACGUAGCGAAAUGCGAUAAGUAAUGUGAAUUGCAGAAUUCAGUGAAUCAUCGAAUCUUUGAACGCACAUUGCGCCCGCCAGCAUUCUGGCGGGCAUGCCUGUUCGAGCGUCAUUUCAACCCUCGAGCCCCCCCGGGGGCCUCGGUGUUGGGGGACGGCACACCAGCCGCCCCCGAAAUGCAGUGGCGAACCCGCCGCAGCCUCCCCUGCGUAGUAGCACACACCUCGCACCGGAGCGCGGAGGCGGUCACGCCGUAAAACGCCCAACUUUCUUAGAGUUGACCUCGGAUCAGGUAGGAAUACCCGCUGAACUUAAGCAUAUCAAUAAGCGGAGGA
Molecule: unclassified non-coding RNA, 343 nt
Filed under: soil metagenome
Description: partial contains 5.8S ribosomal RNA, internal transcribed spacer 2, and large subunit ribosomal RNA
Rfam family: 5.8S ribosomal RNA (bases 1-120)
Source: RNAcentral